This 1018-nucleotide ribosomal RNA is filed under the name Staphylococcus aureus. RNAcentral describes it as "partial 23S ribosomal RNA". It matches the Rfam family "Bacterial large subunit ribosomal RNA", at positions 1603 to 2622 of the family's 2925-position model. RNAcentral also lists the same sequence under 1 other name. The record is from RNAcentral. Lineage: Bacteria; Bacillati; Bacillota; Bacilli; Caryophanales; Staphylococcaceae.
CACUGCCGAGAAAAGCCUCUAGAUAGAAAAUAGGUGCCCGUACCGCAAACCGACACAGGUAGUCAAGAUGAGAAUUCUAAGGUGAGCGAGCGAACUCUCGUUAAGGAACUCGGCAAAAUGACCCCGUAACUUCGGGAGAAGGGGUGCUCUUUAGGGUUAACGCCCAGAAGAGCCGCAGUGAAUAGGCCCAAGCGACUGUUUAUCAAAAACACAGGUCUCUGCUAAACCGUAAGGUGAUGUAUAGGGGCUGACGCCUGCCCGGUGCUGGAAGGUUAAGAGGAGUGGUUAGCUUCUGCGAAGCUACGAAUCGAAGCCCCAGUAAACGGCGGCCGUAACUAUAACGGUCCUAAGGUAGCGAAAUUCCUUGUCGGGUAAGUUCCGACCCGCACGAAAGGCGUAACGAUUUGGGCACUGUCUCAACGAGAGACUCGGUGAAAUCAUAGUACCUGUGAAGAUGCAGGUUACCCGCGACAGGACGGAAAGACCCCGUGGAGCUUUACUGUAGCCUGAUAUUGAAAUUCGGCACAGCUUGUACAGGAUAGGUAGGAGCCUUUGAAACGUGAGCGCUAGCUUACGUGGAGGCGCUGGUGGGAUACUACCCUAGCUGUGUUGGCUUUCUAACCCGCACCACUUAUCGUGGUGGGAGACAGUGUCAGGCGGGCAGUUUGACUGGGGCGGUCGCCUCCUAAAAGGUAACGGAGGCGCUCAAAGGUUCCCUCAGAAUGGUUGGAAAUCAUUCAUAGAGUGUAAAGGCAUAAGGGAGCUUGACUGCGAGACCUACAAGUCGAGCAGGGUCGAAAGACGGACUUAGUGAUCCGGUGGUUCCGCAUGGAAGGGCCAUCGCUCAACGGAUAAAAGCUACCCCGGGGAUAACAGGCUUAUCUCCCCCAAGAGUUCACAUCGACGGGGAGGUUUGGCACCUCGAUGUCGGCUCAUCGCAUCCUGGGGCUGUAGUCGGUCCCAAGGGUUGGGCUGUUCGCCCAUUAAAGCGGUACGCGAGCUGGGUUCAGAACGUCGU